Molecule: unclassified non-coding RNA, 336 nt
Filed under: soil metagenome
Description: partial contains 5.8S ribosomal RNA, internal transcribed spacer 2, and large subunit ribosomal RNA
Rfam family: 5.8S ribosomal RNA (bases 1-120)
Source: RNAcentral
GAUGAAGAACGUAGCGAAAUGCGACAAGUAGUGUGAAUUGCAGAAUUCAGUGAAUCAUCGAAUCUUUGAACGCACAUUGCGCCCCUUGGUAUUCCAUGGGGCAUGCCUGUUCGAGCGUCAUUUGUACCCUCAAGCUUUGCUUGGUGUUGGGUGUUUGUCCUCUCCUUUGCGUUUGGACUCGCCUUAAAGCAAUUGGCAGCCAGUGUUUUGGUAUUGAAGCGCAGCACAAUUUGCGAUUCUAACCGACUACACUUGCGUCCAUAAGCCUUUUUUAACUUUUGACCUCGGAUCAGGUAGGGAUACCCGCUGAACUUAAGCAUAUCAAUAAGCGGAGGA